UGCAGUGUAGCUUAACUAGCAAAGCACCUGGUUAAUACCCUGGUUGAUGUGGGUGCAACUCCCACCACUGCCACCA
This 76-nucleotide transfer RNA is filed under the name Anabaenopsis circularis NIES-21. RNAcentral describes it as "tRNA-Ile". It matches the Rfam family "tRNA". From Rfam's summary of the family: Transfer RNA (tRNA) molecules are approximately 80 nucleotides in length. The record is from RNAcentral. Lineage: Bacteria; Bacillati; Cyanobacteriota; Cyanophyceae; Nostocales; Nodulariaceae.